CAACUUUUAGCAACGGAUCUCUUGGCUCUCGCAUCGAUGAAGAACGCAGCGAAAUGCGAUAAGUAAUGUGAAUUGCAGAAUUCAGUGAAUCAUCGAAUCUUUGAACGCACCUUGCGCUCCUUGGUAUUCCGAGGAGCAUGCCUGUUUGAGUGUCAGUAA
Molecule: ribosomal RNA, 159 nt
Filed under: Leucoagaricus sp. DK13
Lineage: Eukaryota; Fungi; Basidiomycota; Agaricomycetes; Agaricales; Agaricaceae
Description: 5.8S ribosomal RNA
Rfam family: 5.8S ribosomal RNA
About the family: 5.8S ribosomal RNA (5.8S rRNA) is a component of the large subunit of the eukaryotic ribosome. It is transcribed by RNA polymerase I as part of the 45S precursor that also contains 18S and 28S rRNA. Functionally, it is thought that 5.8S rRNA may be involved in ribosome translocation.
Source: RNAcentral